UGGGGAAUAUUGCACAAUGGGCGCAAGCCUGAUGCAGCCAUGCCGCGUGUGUGAAGAAGGCCUUCGGGUUGUAAAGCACUUUCAGCGGGGAGGAAGGCGGUGAGGUUAAUAACCUCAUCGAUUGACGUUACCCGCAGAAGAAGCACCGGCUAACUCCGUGCCAGCAGCCGCGGUAAUACGGAGGGUGCAAGCGUUAAUCGGAAUUACUGGGCGUAAAGCGCACGCAGGCGGUCUGUUAAGUCAGAUGUGAAAUCCCCGGGCUCAACCUGGGAACUGCAUCUGAUACUGGCAAGCUUGAGUCUCGUAGAGGGGGGUAGAAUUCCAGGUGUAGCGGUGAAAUGCGUAGAGAUCUGGAGGAAUACCGGUGGCGAAGGCGGCCCCCUGGACGAAGACUGACGCUCAGGUGCGAAAGCGUGGGGAGCAAACAGG
This 429-nucleotide ribosomal RNA is filed under the name Chloroflexota bacterium. RNAcentral describes it as "Chloroflexi bacterium partial 16S ribosomal RNA". It matches the Rfam family "Bacterial small subunit ribosomal RNA", at positions 355 to 776 of the family's 1533-position model. The record is from RNAcentral. Lineage: Bacteria; Bacillati; Chloroflexota.